This 1687-nucleotide ribosomal RNA is filed under the name metagenome. RNAcentral's name for it is "bacterial LSU rRNA". It matches the Rfam family "Bacterial large subunit ribosomal RNA", at positions 1255 to 2925 of the family's 2925-position model. The record is from RNAcentral.
CCCUGACCGGAAGGACAGGUGGACAGGCAGGAAGAGAGAAUGCCGGUAUGAGUAGCGAAAAGAAGGGUGAGAAUCCCUUCCACCGAAAGCCUAAGGGUUCCUGGGCAACGAUCGUCGUCCCAGGGUAAGUCGGGACCUAAUCCGAGGCGGAGACGCGUAGGAGAUGGACAACAGGUUGAAAUUCCUGUACUGGCUGAGGCCGUUUGAGCGAAGGAGUGACACAGGAAGGAAGGCGCGCGUGCGAAUGGAAGAGCACGUCCAAGCAGGUAGGUCGGGAGACAGGCAAAUCCGUUUCCCGUAAGGCCGAGAUGCGAUGGGGAGCUUCUGGAGACAGAAGCGAAGGGGCUGGCACUAAACUGUCGAGAAAAGCUUCUAGUGAGGACUCAGGCACCCGUACCGAAACCGACACAGGUAGGCAGGAUGAGAAUUCCAAGGUGCGCGGGAAAACCCUCGUUAAGGAACUCGGCAAAAUAUAUCCGUAACUUCGGGAAAAGGAUAACCCAGCGUACGUGAAGUGCAGAAGCGCAUGGAGCGGAGAUGGGUGGCAGAAGAGAGGCCCAAGCGACUGUUUACCACAAACACAGGCGUCUGCUAAAGCGAAAGCUGAUGUAUAGAUGCUGACACCUGCCCGGUGCUGGAAGGUUAAGAGGAAGUGUUAGCGCAAGCGAAGCAGUGAAUUGAAGCCCCAGUAAACGGCGGCCGUAACAAUAACGGUCCUAAGGUAGCGAAAUUCCUUGUCGGGUAAGUUCCGACCCGCACGAAAGGUGUAACGAUUUGGGCACUGUCUCAACGAGGGACCCGGUGAAAUUGAAGUACCUGUGAAGAUGCAGGUUACCCGCGACUGGACAGAAAGACCCCAUGGAGCUUUACUGUAACCUGAGAUUGGAUUCCGGUAAGAGAUGUACAGGAUAGUUGGGAGGCUGAGAAGUGAGUACGCCAGUAUUCACGGAGCCGCUGGUGGGAUACCAACCUUGUUUUAUUGGAAUUCUAACGAGAAGCGUAACGAGCUUGCGGACAGUCUCAGGCGGGCAGUUUGACUGGGGCGGUCGCCUCCGAAAGAGUAACGGAGGCGCCCAAAGGUUCCCUCAGCGCGGACGGAAACCGCGCGAAGAGUGCAAAGGCAGAAGGGAGCUUGACUGCGAGACGGACAGGUCGAGCAGGGACGAAAGUCGGGCUUAGUGAUCCGGUGGUAGAGAGUGGAAUUGCCAUCGCUCAACGGAUAAAAGCUACCCUGGGGAUAACAGGCUUAUCUCUCCCAAGAGUCCAUAUCGACGGGGAGGUUUGGCACCUCGAUGUCGGCUCAUCACAUCCUGGGGCUGAAGUAGGUCCCAAGGGUUGGGCUGUUCGCCCAUUAAAGUGGUACGCGAGCUGGGUUCAGAACGUCGUGAGACAGUUCGGUCCCUAUCCAUCGCGGGCGUAAGAAACUUGAAAGGGGCUGCUCCUAGUACGAGAGGACCGGAGUGGACCGACCAAUGGUGUACCAGUCAUGGCGCCAGCCGUGCAGCUGGGUAGCUACGUCGGGGACGGAUAAACGCUGAAAGCAUCUAAGCGUGAAACCAGCCUAGAGAUGAGGUUUCUCAUUGUUUUAACAAGUAAGGUCCCACAAAGACGAUGUGGUUGAUAGGCCGGGAGUGGAAGUACAGCGAUGUACGGAGCGGACCGGUACUAAUAGACCGAGGACUUGACU